CCUACGGGAGGCUGCAGUAAGGAAUAUUGGUCAAUGGAGGAAACUCUGAACCAGCCAUCCCGCGUGAAGGAUGAAGGGGCUCUGCCUUGUAAACUUCUUUUGUCUGGGGCGAAAAAGCUCGAUUUAUCGAGAACUGACGGUACCAGAAGACUAAGCACCGGCUAACUCCGUGCCAGCAGCCGCGGUAAUACGGAGGGUGCAAGAGUUAUCCGGAAUCACUGGUGUGUAAGCGUGCUUAGGCGGCUUAGGUGAAAGGCCGUGGCUUAACCAUGGAAUUGCCAUUGAUACUGCAGAGCUUGAAUGAGGUUGAGGUUGGCGGAAUGUGACAUGUAGCGGUGAAAUGCUUAGAUAUGUCAUGGAACACCGAUGGCGAAGGCAGCUGACUGGACCUAUAUUGACGCUGAGGCACGAAAGCGUGGGGAGCGAACAGGAUUAGAUACCCCUGUAGUC
RNAcentral lists this ribosomal RNA (450 nucleotides) under uncultured bacterium. Its description in RNAcentral is "partial 16S ribosomal RNA". It matches the Rfam family "Bacterial small subunit ribosomal RNA", at positions 338 to 795 of the family's 1533-position model. The record is from RNAcentral.